UACAGAGGUCCCGAGCGUUGUUCGGAUUUAUUGGGCGUAAAGGGUGCGUAGGCGGCGGAGUAAGUUGGGUGUGAAAUCCCGGGGCUUAACCUCGGAAUUGCAUUCAAUACUGCUUCGCUUGAGUACUGGAGAGGAGGCUGGAAUUUACGGUGUAGCAGUGAAAUGCGUAGAUAUCGUAAGGAAGGCCGGUGGCGAAAGCGAGCCUCUGGACAGUUACUGACGCUGAUGCACGAAGGCCAGGGGAGCAAACAGG
RNAcentral lists this ribosomal RNA (253 nucleotides) under uncultured bacterium. RNAcentral's name for it is "partial 16S ribosomal RNA". It matches the Rfam family "Bacterial small subunit ribosomal RNA", at positions 524 to 776 of the family's 1533-position model. The record is from RNAcentral.